This is a non-coding RNA of Chlorocebus sabaeus (green monkey), 2347 nucleotides long. The record is from RefSeq and is a predicted model, not a curated record. Lineage: Eukaryota; Metazoa; Chordata; Mammalia; Primates; Cercopithecidae.
CUCCUUCGGCUACCGUCGCCAGGUUCUCUCGGUGCACUGUUAUUCCGCGCCUGCGCGCGGCUGGAGUGCCGUCCAUUUUUCCUUUAGUUGGGAAGGACGUUGGUAUUGCGGUUGGCAUACGUAUCAAGGACAGUAACUACCAUGGCACCUGAAGUUUUGCCAAAACCUCAGAUGCGUGGCCUUCUGGCCAGGCGUCUGCGAUUUCAUAUGGUUACAGCAUUCGUGCUAUCCCUGGGAGUUGCAGCUUUGUAUAAGGUUGGUGUGGCUGAUAAAAGAAAGAAGGCAUACGCAGAUUUCUACAGAAACUAUGAUGCCAUGAAAGAUUUUGAGGAGAUGAGGAAGGCUGGUAUCUUUCAGAGUGUAAAGUAAUCUUGGAAUAUAAAGAAUUUCUUCAGGUUGAAUUACCUAGAAGUUUGUCACUGACUCCUGAACUAUGACACAUGAAUAUGUGGGCUAAGAAAUAGUUCCUCUUGAUAAAUAAACAAUUAACAAAUACUUUGGACACAACCAGCCCAAGAAAAAAGGAGAAAAAUCUUUCCUCCACAUAAAUCUAUUCAACAUUAAACUCAGCACUGAAAUAAAAGCUCUGUUUGCCUAGCUCCCAAACCUCUUCAGAUAGAACAUCUUAAAGUGGAGAACACCUCUUUCAAACCAGUGGCUUUGGACAGAGCAUUAAAAAACCUUUUGAACUGUAACAUUUUCUGCUUUUAUAAAUCCUAGGAUUUAAAGCCAGAGAAAAUAGAAAAACUGGGCAGCGGAAGGGGAAAUUUUUAUGGAAAGAAGAGGAUGCAAACUACAUUUAUGGUUCAUAAAAGUCUGGCUCGUCUUCAGUGGAACACAAAUAGAACUGAGAUAUACUAGGUUCUUCAGUGAGAUUUUUCUGAGAAAGCGCUCAUCAAAUCAUUCAAAGGCAGCUGAAGCUAUAAAUUCUUCCCACCCUGAAGUCCUUUAGCUAUCUAGUGUGUAGAUCAAGUGGAGUGGGAAGUUUGCAGUUGUAAGCCACUGAUUUGUGAAUCUCAGGUAGCCACCAAACUUUCUAUGGUUUUUGCCUACUGAACAUUGGCAAGACUACUCUGGAAGAUAUGAUAAUGUAAAGACUUCCUAGUUCUGUGUGUGGUCCAGUAACAAUGCUAUCAAAGUGUCUUAACAGCUGGAGAAAGUCCGUGUGAUGGCACAGAGAUAGUAAAGGGGCUUGCUAGAGAAAUAAGUAAGGAGUCCCUUAGAGUUUGGAUCUUGUGUUUUUAAGCUUGGGGAAAAACGGUCCCCAAAGAUUCAAAGCUCUGCACCACCAGGCAAAAGCCAGAGCUCUGAUAUCAUUUGAUGGGGCCAGAAUUCAGCUGGAAAGCUUUGAAUACACAAAAAGUUUUAAUUGCUCCUCCUGAACAGCAGCACAGGAAAACCCGUGUUGUGAAAGGAACCCAGCCAAGGAAUAAAUUGACCUUCUGACUCAUUUUGAGCCUCUCAUAAGGGAUUUCAAUAAUGUGCCAAGCAUAUUAAGCAAUUAUUACCCCUAAACUGGUUGCAUUUAACCAAGAAAAGCAAAUGCUGAGUUAAAAAAAAAUCUCAAUCCUGCCAUAUUUAAAUGUACUGCAUGAUGUCAUCUACAAAUUAAUUCCUUCCAAAAUUCAAAGGAACUGUAUUUCCUAGCAUCUAAGGCAAAAGCUAAAAACCAGAAAAGUCAUUUAUAGAAGAUCUUAAAAUACUGCUUUUAGUCUUCACUGGAAGUGUUCACAGUAGACAGGCUUCCUUAUGUCUGUGGAUUAUGUUGGGAUGCACUAAAAGACAGCUCAAGAAAGCUCCCUGACAACAUAGCACUGCUGGCCACCCUCCCCCACCCACUCAUGUUGAAAAUACUCCGGAUUACAGCAGUUGGGAGGGUUUAGUCUCAAAGAUGCUCUGCAGCUUGAGUUUUCUUGGGGGUGAGUAGGAGAGGUUGGGGUUACAGACACAGGAUUACGGCAGCAGUUAUUCCUAUUAAGUCAUUAAUAGGAAUAUUAAUGAGAGAGAAAGUGGAAUAGAGAAAGCAGAAUGUGGAGGCUGAAGGCGCACUGGCCCAUCCACCUUCCAGCCAGUGCCUGGCCUUGGCUGUGCAGGCACAGUGCUCCUGCUCUCAGUCAUGUCUUCCCACCUCUGUUUUAGGCAUUCCUUAAUCCCAACCCUCUUUCAGCCCUGGACAGCAAUGGAAAAUCAGUGUUGAAAAUGGUAUCCAGAGCUUCAGUGCUGCUUCCUCAUUCCACAGUCCCAAUAAUCUUGGCAACUUUUAGGAGUGGUGACUCCAGAUACUAUCUCAACCCCUAGGGAAACUGAGGUCUGUUUCCUUCCAGCCUAUGAUGAUUCUCCACAGUAC